GACGAACGCUGGCGGCGUGCUUAACACAUGCCAGUCGAACGGAAAGGCCCUGCUUUUGUGGGGUGCUCGAGUGGCGAACGGGUGAGUAACACGUGAGUAACCUGCCCUUGACUUUGGGAUAACUUCAGGAAACUGGGGCUAAUACCGGAUAGGAGCUCCUGCUGCAUGGUGGGGGUUGGAAAGUUUCGGCGGUUGGGGAUGGACUCGCGGCUUAUCAGCUUGUUGGUGGGGUAGUGGCUUACCAAGGCUUGGACGGGUAGCCGGCCUGAGAGGGUGGCCGGCCCCAUGGGGGGGGAGAUACGCCCGGCCCCCCCCCGGGGGGGAGGGGGGGGGAUGUUUGACGAAGGGGGGGGGGCUGACGGCGGCACCCCCGGGUGGGGAAGGCGGCCUGUCGGUUGUAAACCACUUUCCCCCGGGAAGGAAGGGAAAGGGCGGUUAUGGGGAAAAAAACCCCGGCUAACUUCGGC
Molecule: ribosomal RNA, 467 nt
Filed under: uncultured bacterium
Lineage: Bacteria
Description: partial 16S ribosomal RNA
Rfam family: Bacterial small subunit ribosomal RNA
Source: RNAcentral